RNAcentral lists this ribosomal RNA (453 nucleotides) under Alistipes communis. RNAcentral's name for it is "bacterial SSU rRNA". It matches the Rfam family "Bacterial small subunit ribosomal RNA", at positions 56 to 502 of the family's 1533-position model. The record is from RNAcentral. Lineage: Bacteria; Pseudomonadati; Bacteroidota; Bacteroidia; Bacteroidales; Rikenellaceae.
UGCAGUCGAGGGGCAGCAUAAUGGUAGUAAUACUAUUGAUGGCGACCGGCGGACGGGUGCGUAACGCGUAUGCAACCUACCCUUUACAGGGGGAUAACACUGAGAAAUCGGUACUAAUACCCCAUAAUAUUCUGGGAGGCAUCUUUCGGAGUUGAAAGCUUUGGUGGUAAAGGAUGGGCAUGCGUUGUAUUAGCUAGUUGGUAAGGUAACGGCUUACCAAGGCGACGAUACAUAGGGGGACUGAGAGGUUAACCCCCCACAUUGGUACUGAGACACGGACCAAACUCCUACGGGAGGCAGCAGUGAGGAAUAUUGGUCAAUGGACGGAAGUCUGAACCAGCCAUGCCGCGUGCAGGAAGACGGCUCUAUGAGUUGUAAACUGCUUUUGUACGAGGGUAAACGCAGAUACGUGUAUCUGCCUGAAAGUAUCGUACGAAUAAGGAUCGGCUAACU